AGAGUUUGAUCCUGGCUCAGAGCGAACGCUGGCGGCAGGCCUAACACAUGCAAGUCGAACGGAUCCUUCGGGAUUAGUGGCGGACGGGUGAGUAACACGUGGGAACGUGCCUUUUGGUUCGGAACAACUCAGGGAAACUUGAGCUAAUACCGAAUGUGCCCUUCGGGGGAAAGAUUUAUCGCCAUUAGAGCGGCCCGCGUCUGAUUAGCUUGUUGGUGAGGUAAAGGCUCACCAAGGCUACGAUCAGUAGCUGGUCUGAGAGGAUGAUCAGCCACACUGGGACUGAGACACGGCCCAGACUCCUACGGGAGGCAGCAGUGGGGAAUCUUGCGCAAUGGGCGAAAGCCUGACGCAGCCAUGCCGCGUGAAUGAUGAAGGUCUUAGGAUUGUAAAAUUCUUUCACCGGGGACGAUAAUGACGGUACCCGGAGAAGAAGCUCCGGCUAACUUCGUGCCAGCAGCCGCGGUAAUACGAAGGGGGCUAGCGUUGCUCGGAAUUACUGGGCGUAAAGGGAGCGUAGGCGGACAGUUAAGUCAGAGGUGAAAGCCCAGGGCUCAACCCUGGAAUUGCCUUUGAUACUGAUUGUCUUGAGUAUGGGAGAGGUAUGCGGAACUCCGAGUGUAAAGGGAAAUUCGUAGAUAUUCGGAAGAACAC
This 654-nucleotide ribosomal RNA is filed under the name uncultured Alphaproteobacteria bacterium. RNAcentral's name for it is "bacterial SSU rRNA". It matches the Rfam family "Bacterial small subunit ribosomal RNA", at positions 8 to 709 of the family's 1533-position model. Lineage: Bacteria; Pseudomonadati; Pseudomonadota; Alphaproteobacteria. The record is from RNAcentral.